GGUGGCUCAGUGGUAGAGUGCUUGUCUUGCAAUCAUGAGGCCCUGGGUUCCAUUUCACAGCACCA
RNAcentral lists this transfer RNA (65 nucleotides) under Dipodomys ordii (Ord's kangaroo rat). It matches the Rfam family "tRNA". From Rfam's summary of the family: Transfer RNA (tRNA) molecules are approximately 80 nucleotides in length. Their secondary structure includes four short double-helical elements and three loops (D, anti-codon, and T loops). Lineage: Eukaryota; Metazoa; Chordata; Mammalia; Rodentia; Heteromyidae. The record is from Rfam by way of RNAcentral.